Molecule: RNA transcript, 1183 nt
Organism: Zingiber officinale
Lineage: Eukaryota; Viridiplantae; Streptophyta; Magnoliopsida; Zingiberales; Zingiberaceae
Exons: 5
Source: RefSeq, a predicted model, not a curated record
CCGGUCUUUCCUUAAACCCUAAAUCCCUCGCCACCCACAAUCGCUCCCUCGCGCCUCUCCGUCUCUUCCUUCGCGUCAGAUUCCGAUUUUUCCCACAACCCUAAAGCCUACGCCGCCCACAGUCGCUCCCUCGCGCGUCUCCGCCUCUCUUCCCUCUCCAGCUCUCCCUCGCUGCUGCCACCCGUUCCCUCUCUGCUGCCGCUCCCUCGCUGCUGCCUCCGCCGCCUGUUCCCUCCCUGCCGCUGCUUCCUCGCUGUCGCCCCCGCCGCUCGUUUCCUUCCUCGCUGUCGCCGCCCGUUCCUUUGCUGCUGCCGCUCCCUUAAGCAUCUGUAUCUGCAUUGGUUUGAAGUAUAUAUUUUUUGGGAUUGUUGAAGCUAUCCGGAAGCUUAGCAGCCUUAUUCUUACACAAGGACCAAAACUUUGGUUGCAGGUUUUAUCGAGUGGAAGGGAUACAAAGAUGUGUAUCAAAGUCAGGAAACCUUACCAAUAUGUAUAGUAGGCCAGUUACAAAUGAAUCUGCUGACCAGGACAGUGAGAGUGAAGAGAUUGACAUCAGGAAGAUAUUUAAAGACAUUGAAGACUUGGGUGCAUCCAAUAUGCCAUGGAAGGAGCGGAAGCAACUGGAGAAUAGAAAAGUUGUCCACUUAGGUGGAAUGAUUGCAUUGAGACUUUCUACCUCUCAUCAUCUCAUCGACUUGUUGAAUAUGUAUCUGAUUUGAUGAUUGUCUAUGUGAAGCACCGCACGCGUUGAGUGUGGCAAAACCUGCUAUGAAAAAUCAGAAGAAAAGAGAGCUAAAGCAACAGGAACGGCCGGUUCACAAGGAAUCGAUCAAGGACGGACAGUAAAGAUAGGAUGCUGAAGCCGGAGGAGCGGAUUCCGGAUACUGAAAACGAGUGAGGGAAAUUUCAGGAAAGAUGUACUGGAUGUGAGUAUCUGUUGAAACCCAGUGGUAGUAGUGCAUCCAAAAACAGGGAUGAUUUGGAUUACAAGAAGAGCCAUAAAAAAGGAAAAAGAAAAGGGAUGUUCGCACCACCACUAGAUCCAAUAAUUUAUUCAGGGAGGCAAGAACAAGAUGCUUGAAGGGGGAAUUAUCCCAUGCAACUUGUGACGUAAUAUAUAUAUAUAUGCCUCCUUAUGCAAUUUUAAUCGUAUUAAUUAUAGCAACACUCAUUCUUUAAUUAA